GGGGAAUCUUCCGCAAUGGACGAAAGUCUGACGGAGCAACGCCGCGUGAACGAUGACGGCCUUCGGGUUGUAAAGUUCUGUUAUACGGGACGAAUGGUACGACGGUCAAUACCCGUCGUAAGUGACGGUACCGUAAGAGAAAGCCACGGCUAACUACGUGCCAGCAGCCGCGGUAAUACGUAGGUGGCAAGCGUUGUCCGGAAUUAUUGGGCGUAAAGGGCGCGCAGGCGGCGUCGUAAGUCCAUCUUAAAAGUGCGGGGCUUAACCCCGUGAGGGGACCGAAACUGCGAUGCUAGAGUAUCGGAGAGGAAAGUGGAAUUCCUAGUGUAGCGGUGAAAUGCGUAGAGAUUAGGAAGAACACCGGUGGCGAAGGCGACUUUCUGGACGACAACUGACGCUGAGGCGCGAAAGCGUGGGGAGCAAACA
This 426-nucleotide ribosomal RNA is filed under the name uncultured Veillonellaceae bacterium. Its description in RNAcentral is "bacterial SSU rRNA". It matches the Rfam family "Bacterial small subunit ribosomal RNA", at positions 356 to 774 of the family's 1533-position model. The record is from RNAcentral. Lineage: Bacteria; Bacillati; Bacillota; Negativicutes; Veillonellales; Veillonellaceae.